This 1053-nucleotide ribosomal RNA is filed under the name Russula xerampelina var. xerampelina. RNAcentral describes it as "eukaryotic LSU rRNA". The stretch from base 841 to 1053 matches the Rfam family "Eukaryotic large subunit ribosomal RNA", at positions 1 to 211 of the family's 3401-position model. The record is from RNAcentral. Lineage: Eukaryota; Fungi; Basidiomycota; Agaricomycetes; Russulales; Russulaceae.
UCUCACCCUNUAUGACGCUCCAUUCCAGGAGACUUUGCACGGUCCAGCGNGGAAGACGCUUCUUUAAAUUACAACUCGGACGGCCAAAGACCAUCAGAUUUUAAAUUUGAACUUUUCCCGCUUCACUCGCAGUUACUAGGGGAAUCCUUGUUAGUUUCUUUNCUCUUGGUCAAUUUAGAGGAAGUAAAAGUCGUAACAAGGUUUCCGUAGGUGAACCUGCGGAAGGAUCAUUAUCGUACAACGGAGGUGUGAGGGCUGUCGCUGACCUUUAGAGGUCGUGCACGCCCGAGCACUUUCAUACAAUCCAUCUCACCCCUUUGUGCAUCACCGCGUGGGUCCCCUUUGCGGGAGGGCCCGCGUUUUCACAUAAAACUCGAUACAGUGUAGAAUGUUCUUUUGCGAUCACACGCAAUCAAUACAACUUUCAACAACGGAUCUCUUGGCUCUCGCAUCGAUGAAGAACGCAGCGAAAUGCGAUACGUAAUGUGAAUUGCAGAAUUCAGUGAAUCAUCGAAUCUUUGAACGCACCUUGCGCCCCUUGGCAUUCCGAGGGGCACACCCGUUUGAGUGUCGUGAAAUCCUCAAAAACCCUUUUCUUGUCAGGAAAGGGAUUUUUGGACUUGGAGGUUCAAUGCUCGCCUUUCACUUUUGAAAGUGAGCUCCUCUCAAAUGAAUUAGUGGGGUCCGCUUUGCUGAUCCUUAACGUGAUAAGAUGCUUCUACGUUUUGGACCCGGCUCUGUCCCUUGGAUGCCUGCUUCUAACUGUCCCACGGACAAUGAUGGUGCUUCGGUCACUGCCAUCUACAUUGGCGGGAGGCUGGACCCACAAAAUGAAAACCUUGACCUCAAAUCGGGUGAGACUACCCGCUGAACUUAAGCAUAUCAAUAAGCGGAGGAAAAGAAACUAACAAGGAUUCCCCUAGUAACUGCGAGUGAAGCGGGAAAAGCUCAAAUUUAAAAUCUGAUGGUCUUUGGCCGUCCGAGUUGUAAUUUAGAGAAGCGUCUUCCGCGCUGGACCGUGCACAAGUCUCCUGGAAUGGAGCGUCAUAGAGG